This 571-nucleotide ribosomal RNA is filed under the name uncultured bacterium. RNAcentral's name for it is "bacterial SSU rRNA". It matches the Rfam family "Bacterial small subunit ribosomal RNA", at positions 822 to 1395 of the family's 1533-position model. The record is from RNAcentral.
UUUGGAUUUUCGGAUUCAGAGACCAAGCGAAAGUGAUAAGUUAGCCACCUGGGGAGAACGUCCGCAAGGAUGAAACUCAAAUGAAUUGACGGGGGCCCGCACAAGCGGUGGAGCAUGUGGUUUAAUUCGAUGCAACGCGAAGAACCUUACCUACCCUUGACAUCCUGCGAACCCGGAAGAGAUUCCGGGGUGCCUUCGGGAACGCAGAGACAGGUGCUGCAUGGCUGUCGUCAGCUCGUGUUGUGAAAUGUUGGGUUAAGUCCCGUAACGAGCGCAACCCUUGUCCUUAUUUGCCAGCGCGUAAUGGCGGGAACUCUAAGGAGACUGCCGGUGACAAACCGGAGGAAGGUGGGGACGACGUCAAGUCAUCAUGGCCCUUACGGGUAGGGCUACACACGUGCUACAAUGGCCGGUACAAAGGGCGGCGAGCUCGCGAGAGUCAGCGAAUCCCUUAAAGCCGGUCUCAGUCCGGAUCGGAGUCUGCAACUCGACUCCGUGAAGUCGGAAUCGCUAGUAAUCGUGAAUCAGAAUGUCACGGUGAAUACGUUCCCGGGCCUUGUACACUCCGCCC